RNAcentral lists this ribosomal RNA (465 nucleotides) under uncultured bacterium. RNAcentral's name for it is "partial 16S ribosomal RNA". It matches the Rfam family "Bacterial small subunit ribosomal RNA", at positions 339 to 795 of the family's 1533-position model. The record is from RNAcentral.
CUACGGGAUGCUGCAGUGGGGAAUAUUGCACAAUGGGCGCAAGCCUGAUGCAGCCAUGCCGCGUGUAUGAAGAAGGCCUUCGGGUUGUAAAGUACUUUCAGCGGGGAGGAAGGGAGUAAAGUUAAUACCUUUGCUCAUUGACGUUACCCGCAGAAGAGGCGCCGGCUAACUCCGUGCGCAGCAGCCGCGGUAAUACGGAGGGUGCAAGCGGUAAUCGGAAUUACUGGGCGUAAAGCGCACGCAGGCGGUUUGUUAAGUCAGAUGUGAAAUCCCCGGGCUCAACCUGGGAACUGCAUCUGAUACUGGCAAGCUUGAGUCUCGUAGAGGGGGGUAGAAUUCCAGGUGUAGCGGUGAUAUGCGUAGAGAUCUGGAGGAAUACCGGUGGCGAAGGCGGCCCCCUGGACGAAGACUGACGCUCAGGAGCGAAAGCGUGGGGAGCAAACAGGAUUAGAUACCCCAGUAGUC